AUAUACUGAUUCACGACCUAGGGAACUAGCGAGCUGAUUGAGACGCAGAGUUAGUUUGUAUUGGUUUGAAGCAUUGCUCAGCGGUUUGCAGGAGCAGCAAUGGCAUCGAGCGAUUUUUGCAGGUUGUACAAAAAACAUGAAAGAAGUACAAGGACAAAAGCGAUCUGGGGAAGGUGUGAAACGAGGGUGUGUUUGCUAAUACAGCAGACACAACAUGGCCUCCGGUCGCCUCCUCAGCGCUGACUGUGAUAAAUGAGUCUGGAAAAAUGUGCAGCUUCACGACAAACUCACUCACAGCUGCAACUUGAGGAGGACUUUUCAGACUUCCACAAAGGAUCGGAAACCGGCCCAUCACAUCCGAUCAUAACUCACGCCGGCUCUGGCACGAGCACACAGGCAGACUGCAGAACUAGACUCCUUGAGUAUCUUCAGGGUUGAUCAAUAUUUAAUGUGGCCUUUAACAAGAUCAGAUUUAGCAAAGAUAUUCUGCUCUCCCUCUUGCACGAACAUUGCUGCUCUGGCCUUGGGGUGGAGUAGGGGAGGAGAGGUGCCAAGAGCCCUUUGGGUUUUAUUAAUAUGAGUGCUUGACCUGUGUCUGCCCGACACACUACGCUGAGCUGGGAAUACAUUUUUCCUUUUUAAGUCUGACUCUGGCUUGAAUUCCAUGGAGCAACAGCAGGAGUAUUUGUUCAAAAAGAAGAACAUGUUUGACUUCGCUGAAUCUUAAUGGUAAUUUCUGUACCUGUGACAUUUUCUCAACCGUAAUGAGCCUGACUGUAAUUGAGUCUUCAAAUCAUCUGCAGCUUGAACCUUAAUCAUUUCAUGUCCCGCAGCACU
This is a long non-coding RNA of Megalobrama amblycephala (Wuchang bream), 837 nucleotides long. RefSeq lists it as uncharacterized. Lineage: Eukaryota; Metazoa; Chordata; Actinopteri; Cypriniformes; Xenocyprididae. The record is from RefSeq and is a predicted model, not a curated record. The transcript is spliced from 3 exons.